Psammomys obesus (fat sand rat) is the source of this 617-nucleotide long non-coding RNA. RefSeq lists it as uncharacterized. The transcript has 3 exons. NCBI's taxonomy places the organism in Eukaryota, Metazoa, Chordata, Mammalia, Rodentia, Muridae. The record is from RefSeq and is a predicted model, not a curated record.
CAGGAGCUGGCCGCGGGUUCGUGGCCGACAGAUGGCGCCUGCGCGUUCCAUUCGCCUCCAAGUCGCCGAAGAGCGAACACCCCAAACAAUCCCGAAGCGCCACAAAAAAAAGAAAGAAAGAAAAAAAAGAAAGAAAAAGAAAGAAAGAAAAACAAAAAACAAAACCCCGCCGGAUCCGAUGGCCACUUUCAACCUCCUCCCCGAUCCCCGGCUCUAGAACCGCGGGGAGCUUCUCUUCCUGAGUAGAACACAAGGGUGUCAAGAAGAGGAAGGGGAAAAAAAACAAUCUUGUAGCAGCCCAGGGUGAAGAAGGCCCCCGGCCUGAACCAGAAGGAAGGAGCCGGGAGGCCAGCAGUCUCCUCGCUGCCUCCGUAGACGCGGAGGGGGGCAGGAAUUGUCUUUCUUAGAGGAACCACACUGUCAUUUUACUCACAUAAAUAUAUGAAUAUAUUUCUGACAUUGGUGUGUUCCAGAAGAUGAUAAAGAAAUGAUAGCAGCUCCAGAAAUACCAACUGAUUUUAAUCUACUGCAGGAGUCAGAAACACAUUUUUCUUCUGACACAGAUUUUGAAGACAUUGAAGGAAAAAAUCAGAAGCAAGGCAAAGGCAAAGUAUGUA